UAAUACCUUGUGUAAAACCUGAUCAUGUACAGAAAAUAGGCAUUAUCUGUGUUCAUGGUGAUAAUAAGGAAUACCCCACUGCGGAAGUAAAUAUUGGAACCCAGUAUGGGGAUUUAAAGUACAGAGUGGGUGUAGUACCUAGAUUAGCCCAUGAGGUAGUGAUCGGUAGAGACUUUCCUCAUUUUCUAGACUUAUGGGCAGC
Non-coding RNA from Pelobates cultripes (western spadefoot toad), 202 nucleotides. NCBI's taxonomy places the organism in Eukaryota, Metazoa, Chordata, Amphibia, Anura, Pelobatidae. The record is from the annotation of a GenBank genome assembly.